RNAcentral lists this long non-coding RNA (2647 nucleotides) under Marmota monax (woodchuck). The record is from RNAcentral. Lineage: Eukaryota; Metazoa; Chordata; Mammalia; Rodentia; Sciuridae.
ACACACACACACACACACACCUGUUCUUGCCAUGGUGACAACAGCCUAGGUUGUGCCACAGCCUGUGCUUAGCCCCUCGUAUUAACUUCCCAGGGCUACCAAGGCAAAAUAACACAGAAUGGGUUGCUUCAAACACAGAAAUGUAUUGUCUCACAGUUCUGAAAGCUAACAGGUCAAGAUUCAGGUGUUGGCAGGUCAUGCCAUUUGAAACACAAAAGGGAAUUUUUCUGUGCCUCUUCCUAGCUUCUAGGCUUGCUGGAAAUCUGAUGUUCCUGGGCUUCUAGCUGCAUGACUGCUGUCCCUGCCAUUGUUGUCACAUAGCAUUCUCCCUGUCUGGCCACCUUGUUAUAAGGACACCAGUCACAUGGAUUAGGAACCCACCCUACUCCAGAGUAACCUCAUCUUCACCACAUCUUCCAUGACCCUAUGCUUAAAUAAGGUCACAUAGCAGGGGUCCUGAGGAUUAGGACUUGAACCUUUUGGGAACCCACAUUUCACCCCCAUAACGUCCCUAUGCACAAGCACAUUCAGUCCUAGAAACCAGCCUGUCAGGCAAUUUGAUGACGCCAAGUUAAGGAUGAGUUCACAGGCUCAUAGGAAGUUUAGGAACCUGCUUAAAGUCACACAGAUAGGACACAAUGAAGGUCAGAAAGUGGAUACAGGACAGGGAAAUUCUGAUGUGCCUCUCUUGAGCUUUCAGAGAAGAGUUAGAGACAACUCCAGACCCAGAGGAACCCUGGGGGAGGAAUCAGCUUUAAGGAGAACGUUUCCCGAGGAAAAGAGGUCAGAGGCUGGGAUUUAGCUUCCCAUCAUCCCUCACUGAAACCCAUGAUGUUCCACUUUGGGCUGCUUCCACGACACUGGCAGGCCUGUGGACAUGCAUAGUAUUUCCAAGAAAAAAAUGCUGGAAUAACUGAACAUCCACCUGUGAAAAAAUGAAUCUAGACCCAGAGCUUAUGGCUUUCACAAAAAUUAACUCUAAGCAUACCCUAGACCUAAAUACGAGGAGAAAAACUGUGAAAUGUUUAGAAAAUCCAGGUGACCUGGAUUUGGUGAUCAAGUCUUAGAAUAGCAAAUGCAGAAUCCAUGAAAGAAACAACAAAUAUGUUCAAUUUACUUAAAUUUAAAAACUUACAAGCUAAAGACUGAAAGAAAAUAUUUGCAAAGCAUACUUUCAACUCUGUAUAUGAAUAAUACAAGAGCUUCUAAAAUUUGAUGGUAAGGAAUAAAACAACACGAUUACAAAUAGAAAAAAAAUGGGGAAAAGAUGUAAAUGGACAUCCCACCAGAGAGAAUGCAUGCAUAGCAAAUGAGCAGAUGAAAAGAAGCCCAACAUCCUGCGUCAUGAGGGAACCGCAAACUAAAACCACAGUGGGGGCUGGGGCUAUAGCUUAGUUGGUAGAGAGUUUGUCUCACAUGCACAAGGCCCAGGGUUCAAUCCCAGCACCACGGGAGAAAAAAAAAACAACACAAUGAGACACCACGGUAGAUAAGAUACCACUAUGUACCUAUUAGAAGGGCUUCAUUUGAAACCCUGACAAUCUUAAAUUCUGGCAAGGAGAUGAAGCUCCAGGAACUUUCCUUCAUCACCAGUAAGAAUGCAAAAAUGGUACAGUCACUUUGGAAGAUAGAUUGGCAUUUUCUUAAAAGUCAAGCAUAUGCCAACCAUGUGAUCUAACAACAUGCUCUUUAUAAAAUUUAUUUGUAACUUUUAUACAAAACAUGAAUAUUACAAAUAUUAAUGGUGUACCAUGUAAUGUUUGGGUACAUUGAGCAAUGUAUAAAUCAGGUCAAGCAUUUAUCUCCUCAAACAUCUUUUAAUCAAGGUAAAAAUUUUAGAAUCCUUUCUUUUAGCAUUUUGAAAGGGACUGUAUAUAUUAUUGUUAUCUAUAGUCACCCUACUGUACAACAGCACAGCAGAACUUCUUGCUUUUAUCUAGCUGUAACUCAGUAACCACUGAUCAAACUUUCUCCAGUUCUCACCCCAAGUUGCCCCAGCCUCUGGGAACCACCAUUGUAUUGUGAAGUUUGAUGAGAUAAGCUUUUGUAGAUUCCACACAUGAGUAGGAUCAUAUAAUUCUCAUCUUUCUGUGUCUGGAUUAUUUCACUCAACAAUCUUCAGUUCACCACAUGUUGUCACAAAUGACAGGAUAUCAUUGAUUUUUGCAGCUGACAGUUCUCCGUUAUGUAUAUGUACCAUAUUUUCUUUACCUAUCUAUUGGUUGGUGGACAUUAGGUGUUCCCCACUUUUGAAUAUUGUGAAUAGGGCUGAAUAAAUACAGGAAUGCAGAUGUCUCUUCAACAUACUGGUUUCAUUUCUUUGGAUAGAUACCCAGUAGUGGGAUUCCUGGAUCACACAAUGGUUAUAGUUUUAUUUUUUAAAGGAAACUACAUACUGUUUUCCCCAAUGGCUGUGCUAAUUUACAUCCCCACCAGUGGUGUGCAGGGGUGCACUUUUCUCCACAUCCUUGCUGGGACUUGUUGUGUUGUCUUUUUGAUAAUAGCCAAUAUUACUAGGGUGAAAUGCCGUCUCACUGUAGUUCUGAUUUACAUUUGCCUGCUGAUUAGUAAUGUCAACCAUUUUUUUUCAUGUACCUGUUAGUCAUUUGUGUGUGUGUGCGUAAAAUAGUAUACAAAAAUAUAUAUA